Molecule: transfer RNA, 550 nt
Filed under: uncultured cyanobacterium
Lineage: Bacteria; Bacillati; Cyanobacteriota
Description: 16S-23S ribosomal RNA intergenic spacer
Rfam family: tRNA (bases 124-197)
Source: RNAcentral
CAGGGAGACAACAAAAUGUAAAUAUUAAUUUUGUCACCUUAGGUCGAUCGGUAUCUCAGAUUCUUAUUAUUUAAGAAUUUCAGUUUCUAAGUUUUUUCUAGGUCACACCCAUCAUUUUUUCCUGGGCCAUUAGCUCAGGUGGUUAGAGCGCACCCCUGAUAAGGGUGAGGUCCCUGGUUCAAGUCCAGGAUGGCCCAUAUCUCUAUGUUGGGGGUAUAGCUCAGUUGGUAGAGCGCCUGCUUUGCAAGCAGGAUGUCGUCGGUUCUAGUCCGCUUACCUCCACUGAAUACCACCUCUUAGAUAUAGUUGAAGUGGGAAAUUGUUUUGAGUCGUGUCCUAAUUUGCUCUGAGCGAAUCUAGCUUCCUAUUUUAUCCAAGAAAUAAGAUGCUGGACUCAUUGAAUUUUUUUUCAUUGUUUUCAGAGAACCUUGACAACUGCAUAGAUUAUUUUUAAAGACAAUAAGCAUCUUUAAUGAUGCAGAUUUAUUAUUUGUGCGAAUGCAUUAAAUAACAAUUCUAUUAAGCUGAUGCUUCAAUUAUUGAAGUUAUU